Molecule: microRNA precursor, 86 nt
Filed under: Pan troglodytes (chimpanzee)
Lineage: Eukaryota; Metazoa; Chordata; Mammalia; Primates; Hominidae
Description: microRNA ptr-mir-527 precursor
Gene: ptr-mir-527
Rfam family: mir-515 microRNA precursor family
Source: miRBase by way of RNAcentral
CUCAGGCUGUGACUCUGCAAAGGGAAGCCCUUUCUGUUGUCUAAAAGAAAAGAAAGUGCUUCCCUUUGGUGAAUUACGGUUUGAGA